UACGUAGGGGGCGAGCGUUAUCCGGAAUUACUGGGCGUAAAGCGCACGCAGGCGGUUCGCCAAGUUUGGAGUGACAAUUGUCGGCUCAACCGACAAAGGACUUCAAAAACUGGUGAACUUGAGGACGAGAGAGGAACAUGGAACUCCAGGUGUAGUAGUGAAAUGCGUAGAUAUCUGGAAGAACACCAAUGGCGAAGGCAAUGUUCUGGCUCGUUUCUGACGCUCAGGUGCGAAAGCCAGGGGAGCGAACGGG
RNAcentral lists this ribosomal RNA (253 nucleotides) under uncultured bacterium. RNAcentral describes it as "partial 16S ribosomal RNA". It matches the Rfam family "Bacterial small subunit ribosomal RNA", at positions 524 to 776 of the family's 1533-position model. The record is from RNAcentral.